This 301-nucleotide ribosomal RNA is filed under the name uncultured bacterium. Its description in RNAcentral is "partial 16S ribosomal RNA". It matches the Rfam family "Bacterial small subunit ribosomal RNA", at positions 509 to 807 of the family's 1533-position model. The record is from RNAcentral.
CAGUCGCCGCGGUAAUACGUAGGGUGCAAGCGUUAAUCGGAAUUACUGGGCGUAAAGCGUGCGCAGGCGGUUUGUUAAGACAGAUGUGAAAUCCCCGGGCUUAACCUGGGAACUGCAUUUGUGACUGGCAAGCUAGAGUCUGGCAGAGGGGGGUGGAAUUCCGCGUGUAGCAGUGAAAUGCGUAGAUAUGCGGAGGAACACCGAUGGCGAAGGCAGCCCCCUGGGCCAACACUGACGCUCAUGCACGAAAGCGUGGGGAGCAAACAGGAUUAGAUACCCGCGUAGUCCCUGUCUCUUAUAC